CGCGAAGACUUUACAAUGCUGGCAACAGCGAUAAGGGAACCUCGAGUGCCAGGUUACAAAUCUGACUGUCGAGAUGCCUAAAAAGCAUUUCAUAGCAAGGGCCGGGCAAGACCGGUGCCAGCCGCCGCGGUAACACCGGCGGCUCGAGCGGUAACCGUUAUUAUUGGGUCUAAAGGGUCUGUAGCCGGCCGGAUAAGUCUCUUGGGAAAUCUGGCAGCUCAACUGUCAGGCUUUCAGGAGAUACUGUCUGGCUCGAGGCCGGGAGAGGUGAGAGGUACUUCAGGGGUAGGGGUGAAAUCUUGUAAUCCUUGAAGGACCACCAGUGGCGAAGGCGUCUCACCAAAACGGACCUGACGGCAAGGGACGAAAGCUAGGGGCACGAACCGGAUUAGAUACCCGGGUAGUCCUAGCCGUAAACGAUACUCGCUAGGUGUCGGCCACGGUGCGACCGUGGUCGGUGCCGUAGGGAAGCCGUGAAGCGAGCCACCUGGGAAGUACGGCCGCGAGGCUGAAACUUAAAGGAAUUGGCGGGGGAGCACCACAACGGGUGGAGCUUGCGGUUUAAUUGGAUUCAACGCCGG
RNAcentral lists this ribosomal RNA (581 nucleotides) under uncultured methanogenic archaeon. RNAcentral's name for it is "bacterial SSU rRNA". It matches the Rfam family "Archaeal small subunit ribosomal RNA", at positions 340 to 921 of the family's 1478-position model. The record is from RNAcentral. Lineage: Archaea; Methanobacteriati; Methanobacteriota.